GACAGAGGGUGUAAACGUUGCUCGGAUUUACUGGGCGUAAAGCGCAUGUAGGCUGGAAUCUAAGUCGGGUGUGAAAUCCCUGGGCUCAACCUAGGAACUGCAUCCGAAACUGGAUUCCUGGAGUGGUGGAGAGGAAAGCGGAAUUCCGGGUGUAGAGGUGAAAUUCGUAGAUAUCCGGAGGAACACCAGUGGCGAAGGCGGCUUUCUGGACACCAACUGACGCUGAGAUGCGAAAGCGUGGGGAGCAAACAGG
RNAcentral lists this ribosomal RNA (253 nucleotides) under uncultured bacterium. RNAcentral's name for it is "partial 16S ribosomal RNA". It matches the Rfam family "Bacterial small subunit ribosomal RNA", at positions 524 to 776 of the family's 1533-position model. The record is from RNAcentral.